UUAAUGCCCCAUGGUAUCGGGCCACUGCAUGGUGGCCUGAUUAAAGAUUUAUCGGACAGGGAUGGCCAUGCGUACCAUUAGCUUGUUGGUGGGGUAACGGCCCACCAAGGCAACGAUGGUUAGGGGCCCUGAGAGGGGGAUCCCCCACACUGGUACUGAGACACGGACCAGACUCCUACGGGAGGCAGCAGUGAGGAAUAUUGGACAAUGGUCGGGAGACUGAUCCAGCCAUGCCGCGUGCAGGAUGACGGCCCUAUGGUUGUAAACUGCUUUUAUACGGGAAGAAACCUGUCCACGUGUGGGCAGCUGACGGUACCGUAAGAAUAAGGACCGGCUAACUCCGUGCCAGCAGCCGCGGUAAUACGGAGGGUCCGAGCGUUAUCCGGAAUCAUUGGGUUUAAAGGGUCCGUAGCGGAUUUGUAAGUCAGUGGUGAAAGUUUGCGGCUCAACCGUAAAAUUGCCAUUGAUACUGCAAGUCUUGAAUCAUUGUGAAGUGGUUAGAAUAUGUAGUGUAGCGGUGAAAUGCAUAGAUAUUACAUAGAAUACCGAUUGCGAAGCAGAUCACUAACAAUGUAUUGACGCUAAGGGACGAAAGCGUGGGUAGCGAACAGGAUUAGAUACCCUGGUAGUCCACGCCG
This 638-nucleotide ribosomal RNA is filed under the name uncultured bacterium. Its description in RNAcentral is "bacterial SSU rRNA". It matches the Rfam family "Bacterial small subunit ribosomal RNA", at positions 163 to 802 of the family's 1533-position model. The record is from RNAcentral.